AGCGGCGAACGGGUGAGGAAUACAUGGGUAACCUACCCUCGAGUGGGGAAUAACUAGCCGAAAGGUUAGCUAAUACCGCGUACGCUCCUUGGACUUCGGUUCAGGGAGGAAAGCGAUACCGUGGGUAUCGCGCUCUUGGAUGGGCUCAUGUCCUAUCAGCUUGUUGGUGAGGUAACGGCUCACCAAGGCUUCGACGGGUAGCUGGUCUGAGAGGACGAUCAGCCACACUGGCACUGCGACACGGGCCAGACUCCUACGGGAGGCAGCAGUAAGGAAUAUUGCGCAAUGGGCGAAAGCCUGACGCAGCGACGCCGCGUGGGGGAUGAAGGUCUUCGGAUUGUAAACCCCUUUCGGGAGGGAAGAUGGAGUGGGGUAACCCAUUCGGACGGUACCUCCAGAAGCAGCCACGGCUAACUUCGUGCCAGCAGCCGCGGUAAUACGAAGGUGGCAAGCGUUGUUCGGAUUUACUGGGCGUACAGGGAGCGUAGGCGGUUCGGUAAGCCCUUUGUGAAAUCUCCAGGCUUAACCUGGAAAAGUCGGAGGGGACUGCCGGGCUAGAGGACGGGAGAGGAGCGCGGAAUUCCCGGUGUAGCGGUGAAAUGCGUAGAGAUCGGGAGGAAGGCCGGUGGCGAAGGCGGCGCUCUGGAACGUUUCUGACGCUGAGGCUCGAAAGCGUGGGGAGCAAACAGGAUUAGAUACCCUGGUAGUCCACGCCUU
This 717-nucleotide ribosomal RNA is filed under the name uncultured Nitrospira sp. RNAcentral describes it as "bacterial SSU rRNA". It matches the Rfam family "Bacterial small subunit ribosomal RNA", at positions 94 to 803 of the family's 1533-position model. Lineage: Bacteria; Pseudomonadati; Nitrospirota; Nitrospiria; Nitrospirales; Nitrospiraceae. The record is from RNAcentral.